RNAcentral lists this ribosomal RNA (193 nucleotides) under uncultured bacterium. RNAcentral describes it as "partial 16S rRNA". It matches the Rfam family "Bacterial small subunit ribosomal RNA", at positions 338 to 523 of the family's 1533-position model. The record is from RNAcentral.
CCUACGGGGGGCGGCAGUGAGGAAUAUUGGGCAAUGGACGAAAGUCUGACCCAGCAACGCCGCGUGGAGGAUGAAGGCCGUAAGGUUGUAAACUCCUUUUGAAGGGGACGAAAAACCAAAUUUCGUAAGGUAUUUGGAUUGACUGUACCCUUAGAAGAAGCCCCGGCUAACUACGUGCCAGCAGCCCCGGUCA